UAAUUAGCCAAGAAUUGGUGUGUAGUGAUUGAAGAGAAGUGUGUUCAAGUGAGGGGAAGCUCUUGAUGCGAUGAAACUCACUUGUGAGGGGGAGAUUGUUAGGAUAUCACAAGUGAGUUGGAGUUCCACAUCAGAUAAAUAAUGAAAGAGUGAAUAAUUAAUAUACAUGAAUGGACCUAAGACUUAAUGACUUAAGUUUUUGGUUUAAACAUGUAUAUUAAUGUCUUGAAUACGUACGGGCUCUCCAAAU
Molecule: long non-coding RNA, 250 nt
Filed under: Panax ginseng (ginseng)
Lineage: Eukaryota; Viridiplantae; Streptophyta; Magnoliopsida; Apiales; Araliaceae
Description: long non-coding RNA (PGIN_LNC002457)
Source: RNAcentral